Molecule: long non-coding RNA, 930 nt
Organism: Arabidopsis lyrata subsp. lyrata
Lineage: Eukaryota; Viridiplantae; Streptophyta; Magnoliopsida; Brassicales; Brassicaceae
Exons: 2
Source: RefSeq, a predicted model, not a curated record
CAAAAUGGAGCGAGUCACGACCUUUUUCUCUUCUCUCUCGUUGAAGUGUCGCCCUAGCCGCCACAGAAGCAAAUUUUCCGAUCUCCCUCUCCGGUGUGUGGCGCUCCUCGCCGUCACUGUGAGAGGGUCCCUGCUGCUUUGUCUUUCUUUGUUUAUUGUCUUUGGGUUUUGCCUCAGCUUUCUCCGGUGAGUAGAGCAGAGUUUUGUUCGCUCGUUGUUGUAGUCUGGUCUUCACGGUGUGGUAUGCUCGGUGUUCUCUGCGAUCGUCGAUCUCCCUCCCCUAGCGAUGUCUGAAGAUUGAAGAUUUGUUUCGUCAGAUCCAGUGAGUGCUAGGGUCUCGUGGCUUGCUCUUCUCUGUUCGUCUGGUCCUGGGUUUUUGUUUGUCUAUUGGUCGGGUUUACUUUCCUCCUGCUCUUGUUCCUUCUCCGUGAAGCUGAGCAGUCGUCGAUCGUCGUAUUCGGAAGUGUGCUCGAGGUUCUCUUAACUCUUUUGUCUCGCUUGCCGGGUUAUGAAGUCUUGGUUCGUGGUUUCGAGAGAUCAGCUCUCAUCGUGAUAGGAGGAGGUAGAUGUUAUCUUCGGUUUGGCCGCGGGCAUCCUUGGUAAAUCUCAAUCGCUUGUGCUUCAGAAGAAUUGGGUUCUUGUGUUCUUGGGUCUUUCGUUUCUUUUAAGGUUUAUGCUUGAUGCUUCUUUCUUAGUUUUUGGUUUCGACCUCUUGCGUUUGUGGUUUGAAUUCUUUUGCUUUGUACUACUACUGUUUUUAGUUUCCCUUCUAUAGGGCCUAGCUUCCGGGGAAAUCUCGCUUUCCGCCGGCUUUGUCUCCGGGGACAUACAUGUCGUUCGCCGGCUUUAGUUUCCCUCUUUUGGGCGUUGUAUUCUAUCCUGGUUCCAUUUGAAGAUCAAUAAUAAAAUUCUAGAUGACAAAAAAAAAAA